This 258-nucleotide ribosomal RNA is filed under the name uncultured bacterium. RNAcentral's name for it is "partial 16S ribosomal RNA". It matches the Rfam family "Bacterial small subunit ribosomal RNA", at positions 524 to 779 of the family's 1533-position model. The record is from RNAcentral.
UACGUAGGGUGCAAGCGUUAAUCGGAAUUACUGGGCGUAAAGCGUGCGCAGGCGGUUAUGUAAGACAGGUGUGAAAUCCCCGGGCUUAACCUGGGAACUGCAUUUGUGACUGCAUAGCUAGAGUACGGUAGAGGGGGAUGGAAUUCCGCGUGUAGCAGUGAAAUGCGUAGAUAUGCGGAGGAACACCGAUGGCGAAGGCAAUCCCCUGGACCUGUACUGACGCUCAUGCACGAAAGACGUGGGGGAGCAAACGAGGAU